AAGUCGUAACAAGGUUUCCGUAGGUGAACCUGCGGAAGGAUCAUUACUGAGUAAACGGGUUCUAUUUUAGGCCCAUACUCCCACCCUUUGUGUAACUAAAUCAAAUUUUACUUGUUGCUUUGGCGGGUUUGAUCUUCUAUCUAGUCUUCGGAUUAGGUGGUUGGGACCGCCCGCCAAAGUAUACAACCAACUAAACUCGUUAUAACCGCAUAUUGUCUGAGAAAACAAACAAAAAUUAAAACUUUCAACAACGGAUCUCUUGGUUCUG
Molecule: unclassified non-coding RNA, 268 nt
Filed under: fungal sp.
Lineage: Eukaryota; Fungi
Description: partial internal transcribed spacer region
Rfam family: Eukaryotic small subunit ribosomal RNA (bases 1-46)
Source: RNAcentral